This 730-nucleotide ribosomal RNA is filed under the name uncultured bacterium. RNAcentral describes it as "bacterial SSU rRNA". It matches the Rfam family "Bacterial small subunit ribosomal RNA", at positions 771 to 1501 of the family's 1533-position model. The record is from RNAcentral.
AACAGGAUUAGAUACCCUGGUAGUCCACGCCGUAAACGGUGUCGACUUGGAGGUUGUGCCCUUGAGGCGUGGCUUCCGGAGCUAACGCGUUAAGUCGACCGCCUGGGGAGUACGGCCGCAAGGUUAAAACUCAAAUGAAUUGACGGGGGCCCGCACAAGCGGUGGAGCAUGUGGUUUAAUUCGAUGCAACGCGAAGAACCUUACCUACUCUUGACAUCCAGAGAACUUUCCAGAGAUGGAUUGGUGCCUUCGGGAACUCUGAGACAGGUGCUGCAUGGCUGUCGUCAGCUCGUGUUGCGAAAUGUUGGGUUAAGUCCCGCAACGAGCGCAACCCUUAUCCUUUGUUGCCAGCGAUUCGGUCGGGAACUCAAAGGAGACUGCCAGUGAUAAACUGGAGGAAGGUGGGGAUGACGUCAAGUCAUCAUGGCCCUUACGAGUAGGGCUACACACGUGCUACAAUGGCAUAUACAAAGAGAAGCGACCUCGCGAGAGCAAGCGGACCUCAUAAAGUAUGUCGUAGUCCGGAUUGGAGUCUGCAACUCGACUCCAUGAAGUCGGAAUCGCUAGUAAUCGUGGAUCAGAAUGCCACGGUGAAUACGUUCCCGGGCCUUGUACACACCGCCCGUCACACCAUGGGAGUGGGUUGCAAAAGAAGUAGGUAGCUUAACCUUCGGGAGGGCGCUUACCACUUUGUGAUUCAUGACUGGGGUGAAGUCGUAACAAGGUAACC